GACGAACGCUGGCGGCGUGCUUAACACAUGCCAGUCGAACGGAAAGGCCCUGCUUUUGUGGGGUGCUCGAGUGGCGAACGGGUGAGUAACACGUGAGUAACCUGCCCUUGACUUUGGGAUAACUUCAGGAAACUGGGGCUAAUACCGGAUAGGAGCUCCUGCUGCAUGGUGGGGGUUGGAAAGUUUCGGCGGUUGGGGAUGUACUCGCGGCUUAUCAGCUUGUUGGUGGGGUAGUGGCUUACCAAGGCUUUGACGGGUAGCCGGCCUGAGAGGGUGACCGGCCACAUUGGGACUGAGAUACGGCCCAGACUCCUACGGGAGGCAGCAGUGGGGAAUAUUGCACAAUGGGCGGAAGCCUGAUGCAGCAACGCCGCGUGCGGGAUGACGGCCUUCGGGUUGUAAACCGCUUUCGCCUGUGACGAAGCGUGAGUGACGGUAAUGGGUAAAGAAGCACCGGCUAACUACGUG
Molecule: ribosomal RNA, 468 nt
Filed under: uncultured bacterium
Lineage: Bacteria
Description: partial 16S ribosomal RNA
Rfam family: Bacterial small subunit ribosomal RNA
Source: RNAcentral